This 848-nucleotide long non-coding RNA is filed under the name Medicago truncatula (barrel medic). RNAcentral's name for it is "long non-coding RNA (MTRU_LNC001149)". Lineage: Eukaryota; Viridiplantae; Streptophyta; Magnoliopsida; Fabales; Fabaceae. The record is from RNAcentral.
UGAACAAGCACCCAAAUUCCAAUUUCAUUGUUUUGGUAUGUUUUUUAACUUGCACAUAGGGUUGGGAAUAGGCCAGGCCGACCUACAGGGGCCUAUGGCCUGGCCUGUUUAAGUCUGGUCUGGCCUGUUUAUUAAAAAGGCUAUGUUUAGGCUUUUUAAAAAGUCUAUUUAAGUAAAUAGGUCAAGCUUAGGCUAUCAAAAAAGCCUAUGAAGCCUAAUAGGCCGGCCUGUUUAUGCAUGUUAGGCUUCAUAGUUGACUUUUUAAAUAGGCUUUAAAACUUUAUAAUGAAAUAGGCUUUUAAGGCCUUAUAGUAGUGAUAGACAAGUCUUACACUGAAAUAGGCUUUGAGGCCUAUUAUGCAUAUUUAAAAGUAGAUAAAUGGAAUGUUUAGUGACAUUAAUAGUAAAUAGGCUUUCAUGCCAAGUCAGGCUUUUAAAUAGGUCAGACCAGACCAAAAAAAUAGGCCUAUGAAAGACCAUAGGUCAGACUCAGGCCUGCAAAUUUUUUCGUAGGUCAGGCUCAAACCUAUCAAAGCCUGACCUGACCUAGCCUAUUCUCAACCCUACUUGCACAUAUCAUUCGUGUCGAACUGCUAUCCAUGCUUUUAUAUGUUUUUUGUCUUCAAGAACAAAAAGACAUGUACAAACAAGCCACGCGUUAUUGUACAUAUAUAAUUGUUGUAGCACGUGGAAAAGGAGAAGACAAGAUGUGCUAAGGAACCGAUAAGAAGAAGGCCCUUGAACAGUUAUGCGGCUUCCACUAUUGGAUAUGGAGUUGCUUGUGCUUUUUUUCUAAAAAAUUGGGAUUUCGGUGCUUGUUCAUAAAUAAAGUCAGAAAGAAAAUCAGC